Molecule: ribosomal RNA, 227 nt
Filed under: uncultured bacterium
Lineage: Bacteria
Description: partial 16S ribosomal RNA
Rfam family: Bacterial small subunit ribosomal RNA
Source: RNAcentral
GAUCCUGGCUCAGGAUGAACGCUAGCUACAGGCUUAACACAUGCAAGUCGAGGGGCAGCAUGAACUUAGCUUGCUAAGGCUGAUGGCGACCGGCGCACGGGUGAGUAACACGUAUCCAACCUGCCGUCUACUCUUGGCCAGCCUUCUGAAAGGAAGAUUAAUCCAGGAUGGGAUCAUGAGUUCACAUGUCCGCAUGAUUAAAGGUAUUUUCCGGUAGACGAUUGGGA